UACGUAGGGUCCAAGCGUUAUCCGGAAUUACUGGGCGUAAAGCGUGCGUAGACGGUUAUGUAAGUCAGGUGUGAAAGCCCCGGGCUCAACCUGGGAAUUGCAUUUGAGACUGCAUAGCUAGGGUGCGGAAGAGGGAAGCGGAAUUUCCGGUGUAGCGGUGAAAUGCGUAGAUAUCGGAAGGAACAUCAGUGGCGAAAGCGGCUUCCUGGUCCAGCACCGACGUUCAGGCACGAAAGCGUGGGGAGCAAACAGG
RNAcentral lists this ribosomal RNA (253 nucleotides) under uncultured bacterium. RNAcentral describes it as "partial 16S ribosomal RNA". It matches the Rfam family "Bacterial small subunit ribosomal RNA", at positions 524 to 776 of the family's 1533-position model. The record is from RNAcentral.